UACGGAGGGUGCAAGCGUUAUCCGGAUUCACUGGGUUUAAAGGGUGCGUAGGUGGGUCUGUAAGUCAGUGGUGAAAUCUCCGGGCUUAACUCGGAAACUGCCGUUGAUACUAUAGAUCUUGAAUAUCGUGUAGGUAAGCGGAAUAUGUCAUGUAGCGGUGAAAUGCUUAGAUAUGACAUAGAACACCAAUUGCGAAGGCAGCUUACUUCACGAUCAUUGACACUGAGGCACGAAAGCGUGGGGAGCAAACAGG
This 253-nucleotide ribosomal RNA is filed under the name uncultured bacterium. RNAcentral's name for it is "partial 16S ribosomal RNA". It matches the Rfam family "Bacterial small subunit ribosomal RNA", at positions 524 to 776 of the family's 1533-position model. The record is from RNAcentral.